UCCCUGGCGGUCCAGUGGUUAGGACCCAGCACUUUCACUGCCAGGACCUGGGUUCAAUUCCUGGUCUGGGAA
RNAcentral lists this transfer RNA (72 nucleotides) under Bos taurus (domestic cattle). It matches the Rfam family "tRNA". Rfam says of the family: Transfer RNA (tRNA) molecules are approximately 80 nucleotides in length. Their secondary structure includes four short double-helical elements and three loops (D, anti-codon, and T loops). Further hydrogen bonds mediate the characteristic L-shaped molecular structure. tRNAs have two regions of fundamental functional importance: the anti-codon, which is responsible for specific mRNA codon recognition, and the 3' end, to which the tRNAs corresponding amino acid is attached (by aminoacyl-tRNA synthetases). tRNAs cope with the degeneracy of the genetic code in two manners: having more than one tRNA (with a specific anti-codon) for a particular amino acid; and 'wobble' base-pairing, i.e. permitting non-standard base-pairing at the 3rd anti-codon position. The record is from Rfam by way of RNAcentral. Lineage: Eukaryota; Metazoa; Chordata; Mammalia; Artiodactyla; Bovidae. RNAcentral also lists the same sequence under 4 other names.